RNAcentral lists this ribosomal RNA (301 nucleotides) under uncultured bacterium. RNAcentral describes it as "partial 16S ribosomal RNA". It matches the Rfam family "Bacterial small subunit ribosomal RNA", at positions 509 to 809 of the family's 1533-position model. The record is from RNAcentral.
CAGUAGCCACGGUAAUACGAAGGGUGCAAGCGUUAAUCGGAAUUACUGGGCGUAAAGCGUGCGUAGGCGGUUUGUUAAGUCUGCUGUGAAAUCCCCGGGCUCAACCUGGGAAUGGCAGUGGAUACUGGCAAGCUAGAGUGUGUCAGAGGAUGGUGGAAUUCCCGGUGUAGCGGUGAAAUGCGUAGAGAUCGGGAGGAACAUCAGUGGCGAAGGCGGCCAUCUGGGACAACACUGACGCUGAGGCACGAAAGCGUGGGGAGCAAACAGGAUUAGAUACCCCAGUAGUCCCUGUCUCUUAUAA